RNAcentral lists this ribosomal RNA (465 nucleotides) under uncultured bacterium. RNAcentral's name for it is "partial 16S ribosomal RNA". It matches the Rfam family "Bacterial small subunit ribosomal RNA", at positions 338 to 795 of the family's 1533-position model. The record is from RNAcentral.
CCUACGGGUGGCAGCAGUGGGGAAUAUUGCGCAAUGGGCGAAAGCCUGACGCAGCGACGCCGCGUGAGGGAUGAAGGUCUUCGGAUCGUAAACCUCCGUCAGCAGGGAAGAACGGUCACUGUGCUAAUCAGCAGUGAAUUGACGGUACCUGCAAAGGAAGCACCGGCUAACUCCGUGCCAGCAGCCGCGGUAAUACGGAGGGUGCGAGCGUUAAUCGGAAUUACUGGGCGUAAAGCGCGCGUAGGCGGUAUGUCAAGUCAAGGGGGAAAUCCCCGCGCUCAACGUGGGAACUGCCUUUGAAACUGGCAAACUGGAGUGUGUGAGAGGAUAGUGGAAUUCCAGGUGUAGGAGUGAAAUCCGUAGAUAUCUGGAGGAACAUCAGUGGCGAAGGCGACUAUCUGGCACAUAACUGACGCUGAGGAGCGAAAGCGUGGGUAGCAAACAGGAUUAGAUACCCGGGUAGUC